CGCGUAAGCGGUUUGGUCAGUCGGAUGUGAAAGCCCCGGGCUUAACCUGGGAACUGCAUUCGAUACUGCCAGGCUAGAGUGUAGUAGAGGGAAGUGGAAUUCCGGGUGUAGCGGUGAAAUGCGUAGAUAUCCGGAGGAACAUCAGUGGCGAAGGCGACUUCCUGGACUAACACUGACGCUGAGGUGCGAAAGCGUGGGGAGCAAACA
RNAcentral lists this ribosomal RNA (207 nucleotides) under uncultured bacterium. Its description in RNAcentral is "partial 16S ribosomal RNA". It matches the Rfam family "Bacterial small subunit ribosomal RNA", at positions 568 to 774 of the family's 1533-position model. The record is from RNAcentral.